This 471-nucleotide ribosomal RNA is filed under the name uncultured bacterium. RNAcentral describes it as "bacterial SSU rRNA". It matches the Rfam family "Bacterial small subunit ribosomal RNA", at positions 355 to 825 of the family's 1533-position model. The record is from RNAcentral.
UGGGGAAUUGUUCACAAUGGGCGCAAGCCUGAUGACGCAACGCCGCGUGGAGGAUGAAGACCUUCGGGUCGUAAACUCCUUUCGAUCGAGACGAAUGGCCUCCGGGUGAACAAUCCGGAGGAGUGACGGUACCGAGAGAAGAAGCCCCGGCUAACUCCGUGCCAGCAGCCGCGGUAAUACGGGGGGCAAGCGUUGUUCGGAAUUACUGGGCGUAAAGGGCUCGUAGGCGGCCAACUAAGUCAGACGUGAAAUCCCUCGGCUUAACCGGGGAACUGCGUCUGAUACUGGAUGGCUUGAGGUUGGGAGAGGGAUGCGGAAUUCCAGGUGUAGCGGUGAAAUGCGUAGAUAUCUGGAGGAACACCGGUGGCGAAGGCGACAUCCUGGACCAAUUCUGACGCUGAGGAGCGAAAGCCAGGGGAGCAAACAGGAUUAGAUACCCCCGUAGUCCCUGAGCGGGCUGGCAAGGCGCAU